UGGGGAAUAUUGCACAAUGGGGGAAAACCCGUGAUGCAGCGACGCCGCGUGAGCGAAGAAGUAUUUCGGUAUGUAAAGCUCUAUCAGCAGGGAAGAAAUUGACGGUACCUGAGUAAGAAGCUCCGGCUAAAUACGUGCC
RNAcentral lists this ribosomal RNA (139 nucleotides) under uncultured bacterium. RNAcentral describes it as "partial 16S ribosomal RNA". It matches the Rfam family "Bacterial small subunit ribosomal RNA", at positions 355 to 509 of the family's 1533-position model. The record is from RNAcentral.